GUCUGUGAUAGCUCAGUUGGUAGAGCAUAAGGCUCUUAAUCUCAGGGUUGUGGGUUUGAGCCCCACACUGGGCA
Molecule: transfer RNA, 74 nt
Filed under: Podarcis lilfordi (Lilford's wall lizard)
Lineage: Eukaryota; Metazoa; Chordata; Lepidosauria; Squamata; Lacertidae
Description: tRNA.Lys
Rfam family: tRNA (bases 9-66)
About the family: Transfer RNA (tRNA) molecules are approximately 80 nucleotides in length. Their secondary structure includes four short double-helical elements and three loops (D, anti-codon, and T loops).
Source: RNAcentral